GGACCCUGGGCCGUCUGCAUCUGUGGAUUACAGGCAGGCUCAGCGGCGAAGUGUGGCAACUCGGGCUCCUCCUCCUCCCCCUGCUGGCAGGAGCAGGACUCAAAAACGGAGAGACAUGAGGAGGAAGAGGAAGGACUUGAGGGAGGUUAUUGAAGCCAAACGCGUGGGUGGAACAGAUGUGCCUCACGUUAAAGGAAAGAGAUAAUUUUCCUUUCUCCUUCCUAUCCUAGCCCCCCCCCCCCUCACACCAUUGGGUUCUGAGGUAUUCACCACGCUUCACAUCGGGCCCUGAACUGAACCUAUGAUGUUUGAGCAGAUUUGUGUAGCUUACACUUUCUGUUAUACUGAGGUUCGGUGAAAGCCUGUAUCUGGUAGUGUGGUAGUAUAAGUUCUAUGCAGUGACAUUUGGUUUCGGCCCUUUGGUGGGCCACCUUGGUAAACUGUCAUAUAGCUGAGUAGGUUUGGUCUCCUCUCACUUAAGAGAGUCUUUCUGCUGAGGCCUCCGCUCAUCAGAGCUCCAGUUAGGCAGUGUAAUCAAGUGUUCGGCCCUCUGUGAGGCCGCCUUGAUGAACAGUCUUAUGUUGAGUAGGUUUGGCCUCCUCUCGCUUAAGAGAGUCAUUCUGCUGAGGCCUCCACUCACCAGAGCUCCAGUUAGACUUGGAAUCAAGUGUUCGGCCCUCUGUGAGGCCGCCUUGAUAAACAGUCUUAUGUCGAGUAGGUUUGGCCUCCUCUCGCUUAAGAGAGUCAUUCUGCUGAGGCCUCCACUCAUCAGAGCUCCAGUUAGGUUGAGCAGGUUUGGCUUCCUCUCGCUUAGAGAGUCUUUCUGCUGAGGCCUCCGCUCAUAUAAGCUCUAGUUAGUGUAAUCAACUGUUCGGCCCUCUUUGAGGCCGCCUUGAUAAACAGUCUUAUGUUGAGUAGGUUUGGCCUCCUCUCAUGUAAGAGAGUCGUUCUGCUGAAGCCUCCACUCUCCAGAGCUCCGCAUAGGCAGUUUAAAGGUGCAGACUCUUCCUCUGAGCCUUACUAAUUGUCUAGUGUUGAGUGUAGCCAGGUCUCCUUUCGUUCCGAGAGUUGUUUGCUUGACCUCCACUCUGGAGCUCCAGACGUUGGUGGGUGAGCUAAUCUAUGACGUUCCUUUGAGUCUGACUCAGGGAAUCCAGUUGUUUGAGCUCGUCCCUCAGCAUGGCGGCGUUGAGAUAUCGUUCCCCUAGCGCCCUCUAGAGGACGCAGCGUGGAGUUCCCUUUCGAAAGGGAACGUCUCAGGUUACACAUGUAACCAUGGUUCCCUGAGAAUAGGGAACGAGACGCUGCGUCCCUCGGCCAUGCUUCGGACACUCCCGCUUCCUUCAGACAAAGAAGUGGAUGAUGUGUUCCACGGUGCCCUUUUUAUACCCGCAGUCGCAUUAUUGUUUACGUCACGGGC
This is a long non-coding RNA of Cyprinus carpio carpio, 1420 nucleotides long. Lineage: Eukaryota; Metazoa; Chordata; Actinopteri; Cypriniformes; Cyprinidae. The record is from Ensembl.